Molecule: ribosomal RNA, 542 nt
Filed under: uncultured bacterium
Lineage: Bacteria
Description: partial 16S ribosomal RNA
Rfam family: Bacterial small subunit ribosomal RNA
Source: RNAcentral
UGGGGAAUUUUGGACAAUGGGGGAAACCCUGAUCCAGCCAUCCCGUGUGCGCGAUGAAGGCCUUCGGGUUGUAAAGCACUUUUGGCAGGAAAGAAACGUCGCGGGUUAAUACCCCGCGAAACUGACGGUACCUGCAGAAUAAGCACCGGCUAACUACGUGCCAGCAGCCGCGGUAAUACGUAGGGUGCAAGCGUUAAUCGGAAUUACUGGGCGUAAAGCGUGCGCAGGCGGUUCGGAAAGAAAGAUGUGAAAUCCCAGAGCUUAACUUUGGGAACUGCAUUUUUAACUACCGGGCUAGAGUGUGUCAGAGGGAGGUGGAAUUCCGCGUGUAGCAGUGAAAUGCGUAGAUAUGCGGAGGAACACCGAUGGCGAAGGCAGCCUCCUGGGAUAACACUGACGCUCAUGCACGAAAGCGUGGGGAGCAAACAGGAUUAGAUACCCUGGUAGUCCACGCCCUAAACGAUGUCAACUAGCUGUUGGGCCUUCGGGCCUUGGUAGCGCAGCUAACGCGUGAAGUUGACCGCCUGGGGGAGUACGGUCGC